GCGAACGAACGUGGAUGAGGCUAAACCGUGUGCAUGUGAUACCUGGUAGGGGUUGUGUGUGCGGUGUUGUGGGCCCUGAUGAGGAUGGCUACUGACGUCCUGCCCGCGCAUUGUUGUUAGGUGAAGUGGUGUGGAAACGCCUGCCGUAGAAGGUGAUAGUCCUGUAGCUGAAGAUGAUGGUGUGUGGGUUGUUGGGUUGCCCGAGUAGCAGCGGGCUCGUGGAAUCUGCUGUGAAUCUGCCGGGACCACCCGGUAAGCCUAAAUACUCAGUGUGACCGAUAGUGGAUAGUACCGUGAGGGAAUGGUGAAAAGUACCCCGGGAGGGGAGUGAAAUAGUUCCUGAAACCAUGUGCUUACAAUCCGUCAGAGCACUUUUUGUGUGUGAUGGCGUGCCUUUUGAAGA
Molecule: ribosomal RNA, 403 nt
Filed under: Corynebacterium striatum
Lineage: Bacteria; Bacillati; Actinomycetota; Actinomycetes; Mycobacteriales; Corynebacteriaceae
Description: partial 23S ribosomal RNA
Rfam family: Bacterial large subunit ribosomal RNA
Source: RNAcentral